RNAcentral lists this ribosomal RNA (467 nucleotides) under uncultured Sinobacteraceae bacterium. RNAcentral's name for it is "bacterial SSU rRNA". It matches the Rfam family "Bacterial small subunit ribosomal RNA", at positions 335 to 795 of the family's 1533-position model. The record is from RNAcentral. Lineage: Bacteria; Pseudomonadati; Pseudomonadota; Gammaproteobacteria; Nevskiales; Nevskiaceae.
UGCCUACGGGGGGCAGCAGUGGGGAAUAUUGGACAAUGGGGGAAACCCUGAUCCAGCGACGCCGCGUGGGUGAAGAAGGCCUGCGGGUUGUAAAGCCCUUUCGGUAGGGACGAAAGCUCUUGCCCUAACACGGCAGGAGGUUGACUUAACCUACAAAAGAAGCACCGGCUAACUCUGUGCCAGCAGCCGCGGUAAUACAGAGGGUGCGAGCGUUAAUCGGAAUUACUGGGCGUAAAGCGCACGUAGUCGGCUUGGUAUGUCGGGUGUGAAAUCCCCGGGCUCAACCUGGGAACUGCAUCCGAAACUGCCUUGCUAGAGUAUGGGAGAGGGAAGCGGAAUUUCCGGUGUAGCAGUGAAAUGCGUAGAUAUCGGAAGGAACAUCAGUGGCGAAGGCGGCUUCCUGGACCAAUACUGACGAUCAGGUGCGAAAGCGUGGGGAGCAAACAGGAUUAGAUACCCCUGUAGUC